This 485-nucleotide ribosomal RNA is filed under the name uncultured bacterium. RNAcentral's name for it is "partial 16S ribosomal RNA". It matches the Rfam family "Bacterial small subunit ribosomal RNA", at positions 899 to 1397 of the family's 1533-position model. The record is from RNAcentral.
ACUCAAAGGAAUAGACGGGGGCCCGCACAAGCAGCGGAGCGUGUGGUUUAAUUCGAUGAUACGCGAAGAACCUUACCUGGGUUGAACUACGUGGUAGUAGAGAAGCGAAAGCGGAUCGACCCUUCGGGGAGCCUCGAUAGGUGCUGCAUGGCUGUCGUCAGCUCGUGUCGUGAGAUGUUGGGUUAAGUCCCGCAACGAGCGCAACCCUCGUCGUUAGUUACAAGUGUCUAACGAGACUGCCGGUUUCAAACCGGAGGAAGGUGGGGAUGACGUCAAGUCAGCAUGGUCUUUAUGUCCAGGGCUACACACACGCUACAAUGGCCGGUACAAUUGGUUGCCACACCGUAAGGUGGAGCUAAUCCUCAAAGCCGGUCUCAGUUCAGAUUGCAGUCUGCAACUCGACUGCAUGAAGGUGGAGUUGCUAGUAACCGCGCGUCAGCCAUAGUGCGGUGAAUGCGUUCCCGGGCCUUGUACACACCGCCCGU